RNAcentral lists this non-coding RNA (857 nucleotides) under Cryptosporidium parvum. The record is from RNAcentral. Lineage: Eukaryota; Apicomplexa; Conoidasida; Eucoccidiorida; Cryptosporidiidae.
AAUUCAGGAAGCGAUGUUUAUAUGAAAUGAGUUGAAGGAAAUGAAAUGAUGAAGAUAUUCAUUGUGUGAAUAUGCAUUAUUCUUCCAGAAUUUGGAAGAUAAGUGCAGUUUUAUCGUAGAAACUACAACUAAAACCAAAAAGUGUGUUAUUCAUUCUAAAUGUGUCAAUUCCAUAUACUAUGGAAUUGUGAGAAAAUUGACUUUCUGAAUCGUUUGGGACAGAAAUAUAUUGUUUUUCAACAUUCAAAUUUGGAUCUAAUUUCAAGUAUUCAAGACCAUAAUAACAUUGUGCCAUUCCAAGGUAAUCUUCAAAUUGGUUAAUUCUCCAAAUUCCUCCAUUAGUUUUGUGCUCAUAAAUAGGAGAGUUUAUCAUCCUAAAAUCCCAGAAUCUAAGGGUUUCGUCGUAACUUCCUGACCAAAAUUGAUGAUUUCUAUUCGACUUUUGGAUACAAGUUACACCCAUAGAAUGGGAUUUCUUGUUCUUCAUUAUUGGCUCAUCAAUACAACUUGUUCUGAGAUCCCAUAAAGAUAAAGAGCAAUCGUCAGCUCCUGUUGCCAGGAGAUUUCCCUCUGGAUCAAGAAAUGACACUGUCCAUACUUCAGUAUUUGGAUGAGCAUAGAAUUCGUUUUCAAUGAUUUCAGAGUUUCUAAUAAUGAAAACUCUUCCGUCUGAAAUGCUAUAGCAGGUUUUUCUAAAAUUAGAAUUCAAAGAUUCAAAGGAGUUAGGUUAUUCAAGAGAUAUAGAAAUUAGGAUGGAAAUUUAGGAUGAAAAAAAAGGUUUUUUCUCUUUCCCCUUUUUCUCCAACCUAUAUUAGCUUACCUGGUACCAUUAGAAUAAAUACAAGACAGGUCUAGUC